UUUAAUAUGGCAGAUUAGUGCAAUGAAUUUAAAUUUCAUAUAUAAAGACAAACAUACUUUUAUUAAAA
Molecule: transfer RNA, 68 nt
Filed under: Pheidole fervens
Lineage: Eukaryota; Metazoa; Arthropoda; Insecta; Hymenoptera; Formicidae
Description: tRNA-Leu
Source: RNAcentral